GGGCGGCCGAUGGCGGAUUAGCUAGUUGGUGGGGUAAAGGCCUACCAAGGCGACGAUCCGUAGCUGGUCUGAGAGGACGACCAGCCACACUGGGACUGAGACACGGCCCAGACUCCUACGGGAGGCAGCAGUGGGGAAUUUUGGACAAUGGGCGAAAGCCUGAUCCAGCAAUGCCGCGUGUGUGAAGAAGGCCUUCGGGUUGUAAAGCACUUUUGUCCGGAAAGAAAUCCUGAUGGCUAAUAUCCGUCGGGGAUGACGGUACCGGAAGAAUAAGCACCGGCUAACUACGUGCCAGCAGCCGCGGUAAUACGUAGGGUGCAAGCGUUAAUCGGAAUUACUGGGCGUAAAGCGUGCGCAGGCGGUGAUGUAAGACCGAUGUGAAAUCCCCGGGCUCAACCUGGGAACUGCAUUGGUGACUGCAUCGCUUGAGUAUGGCAGAGGGGGGUAGAAUUCCACGUGUAGCAGUGAAAUGCGUAGAGAUGUGGAGGAAUACCGAUGGCGAAGGCAGCCCCCUGGGUCAAUACUGACGCUCAU
RNAcentral lists this ribosomal RNA (534 nucleotides) under Burkholderia sp. RNAcentral's name for it is "bacterial SSU rRNA". It matches the Rfam family "Bacterial small subunit ribosomal RNA", at positions 224 to 750 of the family's 1533-position model. The record is from RNAcentral. Lineage: Bacteria; Pseudomonadati; Pseudomonadota; Betaproteobacteria; Burkholderiales; Burkholderiaceae.